RNAcentral lists this unclassified non-coding RNA (155 nucleotides) under uncultured Tolypocladium. RNAcentral's name for it is "sequence contains ITS1". The record is from RNAcentral. Lineage: Eukaryota; Fungi; Ascomycota; Sordariomycetes; Hypocreales; Clavicipitaceae.
CCGAGUUUUCAACUCCCAAACCCCUGUGAACAUACCUCGACGUUGCUUCGGCGGGACCGCCCCGGUCGCCCCUCGCGGGCGGACCGGAACCAGGCGCCCGCCGGAGGACCACAAACUCUGAAUGUUAGUGUCGUCUGAGUACUAUACAAUAGUUA